This 4659-nucleotide long non-coding RNA is filed under the name Marmota monax (woodchuck). The record is from RNAcentral. Lineage: Eukaryota; Metazoa; Chordata; Mammalia; Rodentia; Sciuridae.
CAGUAAGAUGUGCACAUCAAGGAGGAAUAUAGUUAUAUGAGAAGUCUACUGUUAAUUUUAUUUUCCUUAAAAGUAUGAAAUAUUACUUGUAGAUAUAAUAAAUCAAAUUAGACAAGUAAAAGAAGCCCCAAAUUGUUCAGAAAUAAACUUGUCAUACCUACUGAGCAGUUAAUGUAAAAUGGAUGGUGGUUGUUAUAAGUCAGAAACUGAUUCUCCUUCAUAGAGUCCCUUACUCCAUCUCUACAAAGCCCUCUCAAGGGCCAGCGCGGAUAUCUCCACUCCACCCCCCAAAAUCUGACUUCCCACUAUAAGGAAUCUCUAUUGUGACUCAGGUUACAUUUCACAUGACUCAUGGUUACUUAGACAUUUUGUGUCUUUUUGAAACCAUAAGCUCUCAGAGAGCAGUAUUUGUUUCUUUUAAUUUUGGAAUUCCACUAAAUCUUAUUACUUAUACUUUGUACAUACCAGUAGUGAAUAAAUACUUGUUGAAUAAAUGAAUGAAGAGAUGAAUGAAUAUCUCAAAGAAUGGUAAUAAUAAUGUGAGCAUAACACUUAUGAAAAUAAAAAGACAAACUUGAGUAUUUAUGUGGUUAAAUAAGAAUUCAAGUGCUGAGAGAAAAGUAGGGAAUAGUUAGGGCAGGGAAGCAUCUCGUCACCACGAACUGCAAAUCCCAAAGUCAAAAUAUGUGUAUAUCAUUUUUAACAACUUAUUGACUACCAUGGUAUACAGUAAAGCCUACACUGUGGCCUGUGCCAAUACAGGUUAAAAACACUCCAGGGGUCUUUAAGUCUACUUAGGUAAGAUUGUGAUACAGGGAGAGGCUCAAGAGAGCAAAAUAUGAUGUGCAGAACAGGAAAUCAUCCAAUAAUAGUAAAAAUAGUAACAAGUGACAAGAUAGAAAAAAAUGUGGAAUUGUAAUUAUUUAUUUUAAAAAAUUAGUUGUAAUUUAGAUUGUAAUUGCUCUCUUAGUUAAUGAGGAAAGGGAAACACAGGGAAUGGCUCAAGUUUAUGAUAUGGAUUUCUCCUUGAAAUAGAAAUUCCACUAACUAAAAGCAAAUCAAGGCAAACAUUGGAACACUAAAAUAUAAAUCAUAUGGAAUAGUUAAUUCUCCAAAGGAAAUAACCCAUAAUUUGGAAACAAAAGAUUAGAAGGAUCUAAUAUUGAAAUAUAAGGAAAGAAAAUGGAAGGAAUUAAGUAAUGAGCUAGAAACAAAAAUAGUGGCUUCUACUGAAAUUGUGUUUAUUUGGCAUCAAACAUGAAAACAUUUACAUGAGAAAUUAAGGAUCUACUUUUUUCACCUGGCUAAUGCCAAUAUCCAUAUGUGGCUGUGUACAAGAUCUCUUCGUGUAUUCGGUUGUAUGUAGCACAAUUUAAAAGAAAGAAAAUCUAAAUAACAACAUUAAAAGCUGUAUUUAUGUUAGUAUACUUUGGGAAAGUUUUGCUCUUUAUUCUUCCACAAAUGUGAUUAUAACAAACUUUCAUAUGCGAAUUGGUGGACACAAAGCUUAAUGGGAUCGAGUUAUGUCAAAUUGUAUAGCCUACAAAAGGCAAUAAGACAUAUGUAUAAUAACCAGUUCUAAAAGUAAACUAUAAGAUUAUGAAGUUUAGAAGAUAACUAAAGGAGUUGACAAAAUGCAAUCAGAGAUCAGAGUUGGAGCUUCUGCCUAUGGUUGUACACGGUGUGAAUCAACUCUAGAUGUUGGUGUGGAUGGCGUCCCUUAGAAUUAUUCCAUACACAAGCAUAUAUGGCUCACCUUAUUGAAAGGGACAGAGAAAUCACGAGGAACAAAAGGACUUUGUUUUGUCAGUGAUGGAGGUGGCAUUAGGUCUUGGAUGAUUGGUAAGAUUUUAUUGUUUCUAAGAAAGGGUUCACCUAGAUACUGCAAAUGGCAUAAACUAAGUCAGGAAGGCCCAAAAGUAUAAACUGUUUAAAGGUCACUUUGUACAGCUGGUCACACAUAAAAGGUUAAAAUGCUGAGAAGAAAGGUGGGCAUCAUUUUGAAAGGUGGUCUUAAUUCUAGGACUAUAGCUUAUGUUCCAUCAGACAAUCUAAAGAGCUGUUUGAGAGGUUAGAAAAGAGGUAGGUGACACAGUCACAGCAAAGGUUUAGGAAAAGUAAUUGGGAUGGUUUAGCCAGGAUGGGAAUAUUUAAGUGGAGGAUAGAAGACUAUCUAAGAGGCCCUGUCUUCCAGUUGGAUGUAAGAAAAUGACCACCUGAAUGGACAUAGGAAAGUAUAGACAGUUUUGGAGAUAUUGCAAUAAAAGAAUCAUCAACAAAUCCUAGGUUCAAAUGGCAUUUGAAGUUUGACAGGAUCCAACAAUGAUUUGGGACCUAGCAGCUAGCAGUGUUAUUGAAAGAAAAAGGGAGGUUAGGAGAAGGUGUUGAUACAUAUCGUUGAAACUGACCAGUGGCCAAAUGUGUCAGUUGAGAUUUGGAAUUUGGGAAUCAUCUACAAAAUUUCUUGAGACCUUGAGAGUAGGACUCAGGUCCUUGGUUACAGAGAAGGCCCAGUCCAGUUUAUAAUAAAUGCAGCAUGUGCUCAGUUAGCAGUUUCUUGACUUACACAGCCUGGUAAGUGGAGAAAUACAUUCUCAUUGUAGGUAAGGCAUGUCGAGAGAUUCAUUUAAAAAAAAAAAAAGCAAGCUAACAUGAGAAAGUAGAUCUUAGAAAUGGAAUAAGGACAAGCUCAAGUCAAGUCUGGACCUUUAGGUCACAGGAUUUGGGAAUGGUAGAUUCCCAGUUAUCAAGAUCUCUGACUCUUUACCAGAGAUUUUCUAAAAGUUUCUUGAGCUUUGGGAAUGGUGUUUUUGAGCUUUCUUUCAUAGCCACAUUAUAAAGUAGAGUAUUAGAAAGGGUUAGACCUGAGUCCAAGUCUUGGAUCUGUAACUUAACUAAUUAUAGGAUCUUAGAUAAGUCAGUGAGUGUCUUUUAACCCUUGGUUUCUCAUAUACUAAAAAUGGUAUAAACUAAAUCAGAAAAAAAAAAACAAAACUACAAACUGCGGUCAGAGGUCACUUUGAUAUUUGGUCAACAAUGUACCACAUAUUUGAUGGUGGUCCCAUAAGAUUAUAAUAAACCUAAGUGUGCAGCAGGCUAUGCCAUCUUGGUUGAUACAAGUAUGCUCUAUGAUAUUUGCACAACAACAAAACCACCUAAUGACUCAUUUCUCGGAACACAUCCCCAUCAUUAAGCGACACAUCACUAUAUCAUGAGAGGAUAAUAAUACUCAUCCUGCUUAUUGCAUGAGGUUGUUAUAAAAAAAAUUCAGGGUAUCAUUACAAAAAUUGUAGUUUAGUUCUAUGUGAAAGCAGUUUUCAGCCUUAAAGUUUGUUUUCUUUACUAGGGGACCCAGGGACAAAAUCAAAAAUAGAUUUUCAAUCUUACUUCUUUACAUUUAAUUAACUCUAGAAUCUAAAAUUUUUUAGACCUUUAAAAAAUAGUCUUUUGAUUUUUUAGAUUCCCUUUUGCUUUUCUAACAUGCUUUAUUUUUAAAAUAUCUUCUAUAUUUUGAUUUUCUGAAGUUUUAAAGUCUCUUAAUUUUUCUUUUUGGAUUGAAUUCUGCUUUCUUACAUACCACUUCUCUAGUUUCUAGACCUCUCUGGUAAAUUAAUAUGAAAUAAUAUAGCUUUUUAGAUGUAUGACAAAAAUACUAAAAGUACUGCAAUUAUUAUUCUUCACACUAUGAAAUUUUGUAUAUAUUUUGUGUAAUGAUCGCAAUAUUUUGAAACCAGUAGUCGUUGAGUUUAGAAUUGCUUAAUAAGCACAAAAGUAAGAAAAGAGAGUAUGUAGGGAAGAAGAGAAAUGCAAAACAAUUUAUUUAGCCGACGUGAUUGAAGAUAAAAAUGAAGGCACUCUAUAAAUUUUUUAAAAAGUAGAUAAGGAUGUACAAAAACUUUACUGGAAAAUUGAAAAUCCUGGAAGCUCAGUGGUUUCCCGCCACUGAACAGGUAAAACACAGUAUGUCAUUUUGUGCUUCCCUAAAUAUAAUAGGUUGUAGUGAUGCCAAAAUGAAACUCUCCCGGGACAUUGUCAGUGUGUAGUGCCAGGAUUUCUUUUUUUUUUUUUUGAGUGGAAAUAUUAAAGGAGAUAUUGGUGCUGAUAUUUCCUCUGUUGGGAGAAGUGAUUUGUAGAACCUAACUAGAUGGUCAGGAUACUGGAGCUGCUUAGUGACUAUGAAGCUGUUAGUUGUCAGUGGCCUCUGACCUGCUUCUCUACCUGUCCCAGGUAUCUGUUUCAUGUUAUUCCCUCUAUCUAGACUUCUCCACUCUUCAUUCUCCAGACUCUGCUUAGUUCUUCACUGCUUCUCCGCACAUCAUUGGUCUAUUACCUUUUGUAGCCUUGCUAGAGAAACUCCGACCUAAAGAGAUUGAUAAAUCUUUCAUCACACACUGAGAUAACUGGUGGUGUCCCUGAGAUAAUUGGUGGUAAGAAAGCCAAAGGGAACUCAUGUGUCCAUUUUUAUGUUCAACAAAUAUUUACUGAGUGUAUACUAUGUAUCAGGCCACUGUUAAUAGAAGUUGAGGCACAACAGUAAAAAUGAUAGACAGUUCCCUGCCCUUAUGGAGUUUAUAUUCUAAUGGAAGGAUGUAGGCAAUAAAUAAGAUCAUUUCAGAUAAUGUUAAGUGUUCCCAGGGAGAUCAGAGAGGGUGGGCUGAU